GAAGACGGCCUAUUGAUUGUAAACUGCUUUUGUACGGGAAGAACAAGGGGCACCGUGUGCCCCUCUGACGGUACCCGUAAGAAUAAGGAUCGGCUAACUCCGUGCCAGCAGCCGCGGUAAUACGGAGGAUCCGAGCGUUAUCCGGAAUCAUUGGGUUUAAAGGGUCCCGUAGGCGGGCCAUUAAGUCAGGGGUGAAAGUCUGCGGCUCAACCGUAGAAUUGCCCUUGAUACUGGUGGCUUGAGUUAUGGUGAAGUAACUAGAAUAUGUAGUGUAGCGGUGAAAUGCAUAGAUAUUACAUAGAAUACCGGUUGCGAAGGCAGGUUACUAACCAUAUACUGACGCUGAUGGACCAAAGCGUGGGGAGCGAACAGGAUUAGAUACCCUUGGUAGUCCACGCCGUAAACGAUGGAUACUACUUGUCCGGAUGCAAAUCUGGGCGGCCAA
Molecule: ribosomal RNA, 445 nt
Filed under: uncultured Cytophaga sp.
Lineage: Bacteria; Pseudomonadati; Bacteroidota; Cytophagia; Cytophagales; Cytophagaceae
Description: bacterial SSU rRNA
Rfam family: Bacterial small subunit ribosomal RNA
Source: RNAcentral